CCUACGGGUGGCUGCAGUGGGGAAUAUUGGACAAUGGGGGAAACCCUGAUCCAGCGACGCCGCGUGGGUGAAGAAGGCCUGCGGGUUGUAAAGCCCUUUCGGUAGGGACGAAAACUCUUGAUCUAACAAAUCAGGAGCUUGACUUAACCUACAUAAGAAGCACCGGCUAACUCUGUGCCAGCAGCCGCGGUAAUACAGAGGGUGCGAGCGUUAAUCGGAAUUACUGGGCGUAAAGCGCACGUAGGCGGCUUUGUAAGUCGGAUGUGAAAUCCCCGGGCUCAACCUGGGAACUGCACCCGAAACUACAUUGCUAGAGUAUGGGAGAGGGAGGCGGAAUUUCCGGUGUAGCAGUGAAAUGCGUAGAUAUCGGAAGGAACAUCAGUGGCGAAGGCGGCCUCCUGGACCAAUACUGACGCUCAGGUGCGAAAGCGUGGGGAGCAAACAGGAUUAGAUACCCCAGUAGUC
Molecule: ribosomal RNA, 465 nt
Filed under: uncultured Gammaproteobacteria bacterium
Lineage: Bacteria; Pseudomonadati; Pseudomonadota; Gammaproteobacteria
Description: bacterial SSU rRNA
Rfam family: Bacterial small subunit ribosomal RNA
Source: RNAcentral